This 424-nucleotide ribosomal RNA is filed under the name uncultured eukaryote. RNAcentral's name for it is "bacterial SSU rRNA". It matches the Rfam family "Eukaryotic small subunit ribosomal RNA", at positions 202 to 601 of the family's 1831-position model. The record is from RNAcentral.
CGUUCUCGCCGGAUGUAGGAACCGACCCGGGGACCGCCGGGGGCAACCCGGCGCCCCCGAGACGGGGCGAACCACGGUGAAAAUGACGGAUCGUCGGCCCCGCGCCGGCGACUCGCCGAAUGAGUUUCUGACCUAUCAACUCGAGACGGCGGGGUAGAGGCCCGCCGCGGUAACGACGGGUAACGGGGAAUCAGGGUUCGAUUCCGGAGAGGGAGCCCCGAGAAACGGCUACCACUUCCAAGGAAGGCAGCAGGCGCGCAACUUACCCUAAUCUCGAUUCGAGGAGGUAGUGACAAGAAAUACCGAUGCGGGACCCUACGGGUGCCGCGUUCGGAAUGAGUACGAUUCGAACCACCUAACGAGGAACGAUCGGAGGGCAAGUCUGGUGCCAGCAGCCGCGGUAAUUCCAGCUCCAAUAGCGUAC